CAGGAUACAAUGUGUUUUUGGUAUUAUACACUGUGGGAUGAAUAUAUCAAGGGAUUCUCCAUCUGUAGAAUGAGAAUAAUAACUACUUGGAGUUGUGAAGAUAAAAUGAGCUACUGAUGAAUGAAAUAAAGAAAUGACUAAUUUUAAACCCUAAGUUUAGAUUGAAAUGCUCCGGUUUAGAGCAGAAUAAAAUAAUUUCAUGGCACUGUUGACUGAAUGCAAAGGUGAAAAUCUGUAACUGAAUUCUGCUCACACUUACUAAAAAGGCAUGAAAGCCAUUUGCAGCAAAGACUGAACCAACCAACAUUUAAAUAAAAUCUGAGAACAAGGCCAUUUCUAAAAUAAGAUACAAAACCAGGUGAAAGGCCAGUAUUGCUCUGAGAAGAGACCAGGAGAAAAAGAAAACACUCGGCACUAAGAAUCAUUCUUGUGCCAAACUAUGAAGAGAGGAA
This 452-nucleotide long non-coding RNA is filed under the name Homo sapiens (human). RNAcentral describes it as "HSALNT0178747". The record is from RNAcentral. Lineage: Eukaryota; Metazoa; Chordata; Mammalia; Primates; Hominidae.